GGUGGUCUUCCAGGAGUCACUGAAAAUUUCAAGAAGUGAAAAUCCAACAGAAAAUAUUUGAACCCAGGAAUAAAAUAGAAGCCUGGAAGACUGAAGGAUAUUCACCACAGGUGAAAUCCCUCUCAGCAGCUGGCUUAUGAAAUAAUGUGAAGGGAGGCCUUAAUGAGCAGAACGCACCCUCAGCUGGAGAUAAAUAUAUGCAAAUGAGAUGCACAAACAAAGAAGCCUGGACAGAGAAAUAUCUGCAAUUCCAGCAAAAUGCUGCCUGCAGCUCGAAGAUGAACAGCUUUGAUAAAAUGUGAGAAAUAUUACCACGCGUGCUGAUGCCUCAGACACACCAAUCUGCAACAAGCAACUAGGAUAAAAAAUAGUUAAAAGUGAAUCAACAUUUAUCUGGAAUAUACAGUCCUGACCCCCUUACGCACUCCCCCCCACCCCCCUCCCCGCAACACACAAAGUCAUUUGUCUUCUAUGUCCUGUGAUGUUUUGAGGAUUCUGGCAAAUAUGGCAGUUAAACAAACUUCUAGCACAAUCUAAAUACAGUCUGUUCAAGAGAGGCUUCCAAUGUUUAUAGACCAUAAGUAAAGAAAAAAAAAAUCUGGUAUUUAACCAAGAAUAGUGCUCUUGAAAAUGUCUCAGAACAAAGUGUUUAAGCAAAACUUUGGCCAUAGAUAUUCUCCAUUCCUCAUUCUUUGCUGAUUUUUUUUUCAAUGAGGACUUUUUAUAUGCCAUCAGUUUGCUUCUUCUUCUUCUUCUUCUUUUUUUUUUUUUUUUUGAAAUUAACAAACUAAUUUUAAAAAUCAACACCUGACUGGGGACCUGGUCAUACAAACUUCCUUUAGAUACAGUUGAGAAGAAAACAUCACAUUUUUAUGAAGCCCCUCUCCUGACAGGGGACUGGAGGAGGAACACCAUUAUGCAUUGUUAUCAGCGUGGUGUAAUUUGACUGUUGACAAAGUAUCCGUGGCAGUGCGAAUGAGCGCAGUUAGAAGUGUGGCGGAUUGUAAUCAAGAAGAUGCUUAGCUGUGCAACACUGCAUCUCGAGCAGAUUUGAAUCAACAUUGCCUUAAGGGGACACACACACAUACCAAAAGAAAAAAAA
RNAcentral lists this long non-coding RNA (1102 nucleotides) under Homo sapiens (human). RNAcentral describes it as "HSALNT0303171". The record is from RNAcentral. Lineage: Eukaryota; Metazoa; Chordata; Mammalia; Primates; Hominidae.